UCGGAAGUGUGGGCCGGGAGGCGCUGGAAUACGUGGGGGGUGAGGGGUUUCGGGAAGGAUGGGGCGGAAAGAGCGCGUAGGCGGCUUGUGGCGUCGGAUGGGAAAGCGCGGGGCUGAACCCCGGGGCGGCAUUCGAUACGGGCAGGCUAGAGUGUGGCAGGGGAGACGGGAAUUCCUGGUGUAGCGGUGAAAUGCGCAGAUAUCAGGAGGAACACCGGUGGCGAAGGCGGGUCUCUGGGCCAAAUACUGACGCUGAGGAGCGAAAGCGUGGGGAGCGAACAGGAUUAGAUACCCCUGAGUC
RNAcentral lists this ribosomal RNA (301 nucleotides) under uncultured Enterococcus sp. RNAcentral describes it as "bacterial SSU rRNA". The stretch from base 59 to 301 matches the Rfam family "Bacterial small subunit ribosomal RNA", at positions 553 to 795 of the family's 1533-position model. Lineage: Bacteria; Bacillati; Bacillota; Bacilli; Lactobacillales; Enterococcaceae. The record is from RNAcentral.